RNAcentral lists this ribosomal RNA (498 nucleotides) under uncultured bacterium. RNAcentral describes it as "partial 16S ribosomal RNA". It matches the Rfam family "Bacterial small subunit ribosomal RNA", at positions 30 to 523 of the family's 1533-position model. The record is from RNAcentral.
AUUGAACGCUGGCGGCAUGCCUUACACAUGCAAGUCGAACGGUAACAGGUCUUCGGAUGCUGACGAGUGGCGAACGGGUGAGUAAUACAUCGGAACGUGCCUAGUAGUGGGGGAUAACUACUCGAAAGAGUGGCUAAUACCGCAUGAGAUCUACGGAUGAAAGCAGGGGAUCGCAAGACCUUGUGCUACUAGAGCGGCCGAUGGCAGAUUAGGUAGGUGGUGGGAUAAAAGCUUACCAAGACGACGAUCUGUAGCUGGCCUGAGAGGACGAUCAGCAACCCUGGUACGGAGACACGUCCCAGAUUCCUACGGGAGGCAGCAGUGGGGAAUUUUGGACAAUGGGCGAAAGCCUGAUCCAGCAAUGCCGCGUGCAGGAUGAAGGCCUUCGGGUUGUAAACUGCUUUUGUACGGAACGAAAAGCCCCGGGUUAAUACCCUGGGGUCAUGACGGUACCGUAAGAAUAAGCACCGGCUAACUACGUGCCAGCCGCCGCCGUAA